RNAcentral lists this long non-coding RNA (354 nucleotides) under Homo sapiens (human). Its description in RNAcentral is "HSALNT0230517". Lineage: Eukaryota; Metazoa; Chordata; Mammalia; Primates; Hominidae. The record is from RNAcentral.
UUCCAAGGAUGGAUGGGUGUUGCAUUCUCAGUUCCAAGUCUCCGGUAACAAAAGUGGAAGAGAACAAACUAGAUUGAGGAGGCAAGCAGCCCAGCCAAGGAACAUAGAGGGGUGAAGGGAGCCAUUUUCACUCUCCUACAUCUGGAAAUCACACCCUACCAGAUUUCUCAACCUUGUCUUUUUUAUGGAAGGCUCAGCACUUAGGGACUCUUAGAAAUGGAAGCAAUCCGAAAUGAUUAUUGACGUGAAAGGGUGGUCCAUGAACAGCAGCAUCCACACUGCCUGCAAGCCCAUUGGUAAUGCAGAAUCUCAGCUUCGAGGCAGCAUCACAUCGAAAAAUCCCCCUGGAUUAGU